This is a long non-coding RNA of Meriones unguiculatus (Mongolian gerbil), 2369 nucleotides long. RefSeq lists it as uncharacterized. NCBI's taxonomy places the organism in Eukaryota, Metazoa, Chordata, Mammalia, Rodentia, Muridae. The transcript has 3 exons. The record is from RefSeq and is a predicted model, not a curated record.
UUAAAUUUGGGCCAUUAAGGACGUCUGUAACUUCAAGAGAAUGUUCAGCGCCCAUCACUUGAGCCCCAGGCAUACCUCAAGACAGGCAGCCAGGCAGGAAGGCUUGAAAAUAAGCGUGGGAAUGAACUAGGGGCUGUAAACACCGAAGCUUCAGAACCCAUGUGAGGGUGACGCAGCGCGACUUCCUGGGCUAAUUACAUUUGUGGGCGUUUCCGCCGGUCCAAACUGUUCCAGACGCUGGGAGGGUUCAGAAGAGCCGCUCACCCCGCAGCGAUCACGAAUGAGAGGAGUCGGUGAUAAUCAAGGCAGUAACCAGCCCAGGCAGCUGUGGCCACGCCCCCCUUGAUCUCUGCCCGAAGCGCAGUAAACCAGAAAGAUAGAGGGAUGUUGCCAAACACCCCGACUCCAUGAUUCUUUCUAACUUUCCCUACGCCUCCCCGAUCCAGUAACGUUUCGGUUUAAAGUCUCCGCUGGGCCCUGUGGCAUGAACCAGGGACUUGGCGCUCUGUUGAAGGGAGAGCAGGCAGCAGUCAAGAGGUGGAAUCCUUGGCGUGCCCUUGUUGAUAGGAUGCCAGGGGGCUUCUCCCAGCGUCUGCAACUAGACCUGGUUGCUCUGGCUGCUGUGCCUGUUUGUGUAGGCGCUGGGGAUCUGAACUCAGGUCCUCCUGCUUGCGGGACUGAGUCACAAAGCCCCACCUAACCUACUUUGGAACAGCCAUUCCCAGAAUGAUCCUCUGUGCUGUCUGCAGUUAAUCCCUGUUCCUGCCCUCCCCCUGGCAACCAUUAAUGCUGUUUCCGGCUCCUUAGACUUGCCCGCUGUCAAUAUCCAUGGGCCUCCGUCUCUGUGUCUGGUUUCUUCCAUGAAGUGAUACAUCCCAAAGGCUUGUCCACCCUGUGCAGGGGUCGAUCUUUCAGUCCUGUGUGACUGGUAUCACCAUGGUGUGGACAGGCCAGUGGUAUUUCUCCAUUCACAGUCCAUGAUGGCUCAGCGGCUCCUGCUUUUUGGUCAUUGUGAAGGAAGCCGCUGCACCUUUCUGCAACAUUCCCGAACUAGUCUUUGAGUGGAUAUGCAGUUCUUUCUCUUAGCUAGAGAACGGAUGGCUUUAACUGAAAGUAUAUUUUGGAGGUAGAUCAUGUGUGCCCACGAUACAGGAUUUAGGAGGGCCAGGUGUGGUGUGCACACCUUUAGUUCGGGGAGCAGAGGCAGAGGCAGGCAGAUCUCUGAGCGUUUGAAGCCAGGCUGGCCUACCUAGCAAGUUCCAGACCUGCAGAGUGAGACAAUGUCUCAAAAGACCAAAACAACAGCAACAACAACCAGAUUUAACCCUUAUACAACCAGACAAAAACAUACUAGCAAAAAGGCACUGAGUUUCAUAGGAGGUGUGCUUUAGUUUGGGUUUCUGGGAGUAGAGGUAAGCCAGAACUGGAGUUCAGGUGGGUUCUUUGAAAUUGACCCCAUGAAGCACAUGGGAGUCAAACAGGAGAGUUCAGGCAGAGUGAGCUGAUGAAUGUGGCUUGAGUCAGGUUCAGAUCUGCUCAGCCCCAGGGAGGGUUGGAGGAUAAAUCCUGGAGGAAUGGAAGGUAGGCUUUAGCCUGACCCAGGGUUAUCUCUUCCGGAGUCACACUUGCUUAAUAAUCAGUGUCAUGGCUGUGUGAACGUCACAGCGUGCACCUCGCAGACCAAGUUGGCUACAGUGUCACUGGGGACACAUCUCCACCAUUGACACAGCUCAUCAUGAACACAAUAUGAAUGUUGCCACGUGGCUUGGGCACUCACUCACUCCAACGGCAGCUUCAUCUCAUCAUGGGCAGAACUCACACUGUUCUAACCACUUGAGUGUUUGUCUUGAGAACGUGGUGUGUCUUGGAAAUGUGGUGGGUCAUGUCUCCUCCCCCAAAUCCCCGUCACACACACACACACACACACACACACACACACUUUGAGACAAGAGUUUGCCCUAUAGGCCAGGCUGGCCUUGGACUUGUGAUCAUCCUGCCUCAAGCUCCUGAGUGCUGGGAUUGUAGCGGCGCAUCAUCAUGACUGGCUGCACCACACCCUUAAAAGGCACAUGAUAUCCCUCACAAGAACAUGCCUUCUUAAUUUCCCGUCUCUCUUAUUAGUGGACACCAUUGUUCUGAUCAUCUCUUAGUAGUGACGUUGUAGUCAUUUACUUUGGAAUGCACCAGAAGUCAGGUGGUUGGAUGAACAGAGGGAUGGAUGGAUGAGGGAUGCAUAGAUGGGUAGGUAGAGGGAUGUUUGGAUGAGUCAAUGGAUGGAAACAUGGAUGGCUGGAGUUAUGGGUACAUGCUUGAUAAGUGACCUGAGCAGUGGGAUUGAGGAGUGGUUAUAUAUUGAGUAAUUGUUUAAU